This 307-nucleotide small nuclear RNA is filed under the name Castor canadensis (American beaver). Its description in RNAcentral is "7SK RNA (ENSCCNG00000021836.1)". It matches the Rfam family "7SK RNA". Rfam says of the family: 7SK was discovered as an abundant small nuclear RNA in the mid-70s but a possible function has only recently been suggested. Two independent studies have found that 7SK RNA binds the CDK9/cyclin T complex (known as elongation factor P-TEFb). P-TEFb activates transcription by phosphorylating the C-terminal domain of RNA polymerase II. Lineage: Eukaryota; Metazoa; Chordata; Mammalia; Rodentia; Castoridae. The record is from Rfam by way of RNAcentral.
GGAUGUGAGGCCGAUCUUCCUGCGACAUCUGUCACCCCAUUGAUCGCCAGGGUUGAUUGGGCUGAUCUGGCUGGCUAGGCGGGUGUCCCCUUCCUUCCUGACCGCUCCAUGUGCGUCCCUCCCGAAGCUGCGCGCUCGGUGGAAGAGGACGACCAUCCCCAAUAGAGGAGGACCUUUCUUUGGUCAAGGGUAUACAAGUAGCUACGCUCCCCUGCGUAACCUCCAAACAAGCUCUCGUUUCUUUGGUUCAAAAAUAACCUGACAGAGCAAUUAGUAAAUGGUUUAUUAUUAUAAAACCCUUAACAUU